AGGACCCUAGUAAAAUACACAUUACACUGCUUUGUCAAGGCAGAAUUGUAGGUUAGAACCCUGCGAGCCCUG
RNAcentral lists this transfer RNA (72 nucleotides) under Bathytroctes breviceps. RNAcentral's name for it is "tRNA-Asp". It matches the Rfam family "tRNA". Rfam says of the family: Transfer RNA (tRNA) molecules are approximately 80 nucleotides in length. Their secondary structure includes four short double-helical elements and three loops (D, anti-codon, and T loops). Further hydrogen bonds mediate the characteristic L-shaped molecular structure. tRNAs have two regions of fundamental functional importance: the anti-codon, which is responsible for specific mRNA codon recognition, and the 3' end, to which the tRNAs corresponding amino acid is attached (by aminoacyl-tRNA synthetases). tRNAs cope with the degeneracy of the genetic code in two manners: having more than one tRNA (with a specific anti-codon) for a particular amino acid; and 'wobble' base-pairing, i.e. permitting non-standard base-pairing at the 3rd anti-codon position. The record is from RNAcentral. Lineage: Eukaryota; Metazoa; Chordata; Actinopteri; Alepocephaliformes; Alepocephalidae.